Molecule: RNA transcript, 5666 nt
Organism: Empidonax traillii (willow flycatcher)
Lineage: Eukaryota; Metazoa; Chordata; Aves; Passeriformes; Tyrannidae
Gene: PATZ1
Gene name: POZ/BTB and AT hook containing zinc finger 1
Exons: 7
Source: RefSeq, a predicted model, not a curated record
GCCCCCAUGGAGCGGGUGAGCGAGGCCGCCGCCUGCGGCCCCUCGGCGGGCUGCUACACCUACCAGGUGAGCCGGCACAGCGCCGACGUGCUGCACAGCCUCAACCAGCAGCGCAAGAACGGCGGCCGCUUCUGCGACGUGCUCCUUCGCGUGGGCGACGAGAGCUUCCCGGCGCACCGCGCCGUGCUGGCCGCUUGCAGCGAGUACUUCGAGUCGGUGUUCAGCGCCCAGCUGGGCGACGGGGCAGGUGGCGGCGGCGGCGGCGGCUCGGACGGGAGCGCGGCGGAGGCGGCGGCGGCCGGCGGGGCCGCGGCGGCGGCCGGCGGCGCCCCCGGGGGCGGGCGGGAGCUGGAGAUGCACACCAUCAGCUCCAAGGUGUUCGGAGACAUCCUGGACUUCGCCUACACGUCGCGCAUCGUGGUGCGGCUGGAGAGCUUCCCGGAGCUCAUGACGGCCGCCAAGUUCCUGCUGAUGCGCUCGGUGAUUGACAUCUGCCAGGAGGUCAUCAAGCAGUCCAACGUGCAGCUCCUCGUGCCCCCCGCACGCCCUGAUAUUAUGCUGUUCCGUCCGGGGGCCGCGGACCUCGGCUUCCCUCUUGACAUGACCAACGGUGCCGCUUUGGCGCCCAAUGGCAACGGCAUCGCCGGCAUGCCCGAAGACGAGGCCACGCGGGCCGCGCUCAGCGCCGCGCAGUCCUCCCUGCCCGUGCUGCAGGGCGUGGACCGCCUGCCCAUGGUGGCGGGACCUCUGUCCCCACCGCUGCUGGCCUCGCCCUUCCAGAACGUUGCUGCUAGCGCUCCCACUUUAAGCACCAAGAGGGGCAGAGGUCGUCCCCGCAAGGCCAACCUCUUGGACUCCAUGAUGUUCGGUACCCCGGGGGGCCUGCGAGAGGCCGGGAUCCUGCCUUGUGGCCUCUGCGGGAAAGUGUUUACGGAUGCCAAUCGUCUUCGGCAGCACGAGGCUCAACACGGGGUGACGAGCUUACAGCUGGGCUACAUAGACAUCCCACCCCCCAGACUGGGUGAAAACGGUGUCCCUGGUCAGGAUGACCCCGACGCACCCCGGAAAAGAAGCAGGACGAGGAAACAGGUGGCCUGUGAGAUCUGUGGCAAGAUUUUUCGGGACGUGUACCACCUGAAUCGGCACAAGCUGUCGCACUCUGGCGAGAAGCCCUACUCUUGUCCGGUGUGUGGCUUGCGGUUCAAGCGGAAAGACAGGAUGUCCUAUCACGUUCGAUCUCACGAUGGCUCUGUGGGAAAGCCCUACAUCUGCCAGAGUUGUGGAAAAGGCUUUUCCAGGCCAGACCACUUGAAUGGACACAUCAAACAGGUGCAUACCUCAGAGAGACCUCACAAGUGUCAGCAGGAAAAUGGCAGCCACCAUGGAAUAAGCUCAGAGACAUCCACAUCCAUAGAAAAGUUGAAACUUCAAGAGACUUGUAACGCUUCCUUUGCCACUCGUGACCGGCUGCGCUCACACCUGGCCUGUCAUGAAGACAAAGUCCCGUGCCAGGUGUGUGGCAAGUACUUGAGAGCAGCAUAUAUGGCAGACCACUUGAAGAAGCACAGUGAAGGACCAAGCAAUUUCUGCACUAUCUGUAACCGAGGUUUCUCCUCUGCCUCCUACUUAAAGGUCCAUGUUAAAACCCACCACGGUGUUCCCCUUCCCCAGGUCUCCAGGCACCAGGAGUCCAUCCCGAAUGGGGGAGCAGCGUUCCACUGCGGCAGGACCUAUGGCAUCAAAGAAGGCCAGAAAUGUUCCCAUUCGGACCCGAUUGAGAGUUCUGAUUCAUACGGAGACCUCUCUGACACCAGUGACCUCAAGACUCCUGAGAAACAGAGCACCAACGGGUCCUUCUCGUGUGAGCUGGCAGUGAGCAAAAACAAAAUGGAGACGGAAGGGGAGAAGAAAUACCCGUGCCCUGAGUGCGGCAGCUUUUUCAGAUCCAAGUCUUACCUGAACAAACACAUACAGAAAGUUCACGUCAGGGCCCUGGGUGGCCCCCUGGGGGACCUGGGUCCUGCUCUGGGAUCCCCCUUCUCACCCCAACAGAACAUGUCUCUCCUGGAGUCCUUUGGGUUUCAGAUCGUCCAGUCAGCAUUUGCAUCAUCCCUGGUGGAUCCGGAGGUCGACCAGCAACCGAUGGGGCCAGAGGGGAAAUGAGAUCAGUGUGAUCUUAGCAAAGCGAAGCAGCAGUCUGGCUAUAGUGAUAAGAUGCUGUGAAUGAAAGAGGAAAUAAUGAAAUUGGGUUCUAUAGCUGAGAAUUUUUUAUUUGUUUUAGCUUCCCUCUUUGUCUCAUGCCCUACCCCCACCUUUAAACUUCCACUGGGGAGAGGGAGAAAAUGCUUCUUAGCUGAUAAAUUACAGAAGAUGGUGGCCUUGAAUAGGAGAUGUGACCCAAAACACUAAAUGGAGCUUUAGAGGCUGCUGCUGGUGUUUCUCCGUGUUCCUCUGGAAUGAUGGAAAGUUGCCAGCUCUGGUGUGAGAACGAGGCAGUCCUAGUGACCGAGGCACCCGGGGAGCUACAGCUACAGGGAGCUAUGGUUUUGUUCUCUCUCUAUUCCCCACCCUCCCUAAACUACCCCAGAAAAACAGUAAGUUUUAAAAACAGACCCACUAUUGAAUAACAUUGAAGUCAAAUGCCCCGUGGUUCCUAGCAGGUUACAAUGCAGUUGUCCUUCUAAAACCAGAAAAAAUUUAAAGGAGGUGAGAGAAUUCGAACCCCUUCUGCCUUUGUGAGGCUGUGAGUGCUGCAGCAGGACUGAACUGCUGACAAGAAUCACCUUUCAGAACAGGUUGUUUUUAUUACUUUUGACCGUUAAACUUGCUGUCAGGUUUUUAAUUCUUUAUUAUUAUUAUUUUAGGACCUGUUGUAGUGAAUUGCUACUGAAAAGCCAGUCUAAGGCGAUACGCAGAGCACUCGUAAAGCAGCAGUCACAUUAGGCACCAGCACUUUCUAAAUUGAGAGCAUGUUGCAGUGGACUUGAUGUUUUGCUAUUAAUCUGUGUUGGGAGACUGAAGGACAUGUUCUUCUCCAGUCAUCUUCUCCCAGAAUCCCUGGAAUAAGUAUGAGUCUCAUGUAAAAGGAAAAAAGCAAACAAGCAAGCAAACAAACCCACCUUCAGACUAAAACUUCGUGGAAUUACUGUUGCUGUACUGGUAAGAUUAGUCGGCAGGUAGAAAUAGAACAUUUCAGAAAAGUGACAAAACAUUUUAAAAUACCUUACAGUACCUAGACAAUGCUGAGACAACCUUGUAAGCUGCCAAGGAAGUCAGGCUGGAGCAGGCUUUCCAGUCAGCAGAACAAUUCAUGGGGAUUAGCAGAUGCAACUGCAGUCAGUGUUUCACUAACAGCUCAUAGUUAAGCCACGAGGGAAGUUUCUGUUGAACUGAGGCUGGGUGCUUGAAGAGAGACGUUUGUGUCCCUGAUGUUCCCACGUGCGCUUAAAGGGUCACAAAAUUCAAUUCCAAAAGCCAAAUCCAGAGUAUAGGACAGUUUCAUCCUACAUUUAGCUGCACUGACUUUAGUGUUAGUAGUGGGUUGACUUUUGGCCGUGUCUAUCGAUUUAAUUUGGAAGGCUACAGAAUCUGACCUGGUGAAACCAAUGAACAACCUUGAACUAAAACCGAAGCCUUCUAAAACACCAACUGUGCAUUCUGCUGUCAAAGAAAGUGCUUACUAAGGUGUCAUGAAUACACUGAAUGAAAACUACUUACUUCUCAGUCUAGUGGACAGGGAAACAAUUAGGCAGGAAGUUUACAAUCCUGAAAUGAGAGUUCUAGAUCAUCCUGGUGUAAAUGGGAGAGAUUUGUACCAGCGCAAGAGGCUGGUCAGGCUUAGUGCCAGCAGGAGGUUGGGCAGGUCUUGGGCAGUGCUGUGUUUUCAGGGCCCUGUGCUUCUUCGGGGGCAUUACAGUUCCAUUCUGGACAGUAAUGGAACCUACAUGCAAAUCCUUUCUGUUCUGUACUUUGGGAAAUGUCUGCUUCUCACAGAACGUGAGACAGAUCAAAGAGAAAACCCAGCUCACGAGUUCAGAGGGAAGUAGGUAACAUGCCCUGAGCUGCAGCUCACUUCUUGCUGUUCCAUUUUAGUUUUAAUUGCCAUAUCAGUGUAUAGGUGAUAGUUCUGAUGCUGGCCCACCCUCCUUUCCUUGUCAUCCCCUUUGGUGGGACUGCAGUCCGAUGUUUUGAGUCGGUGCACGUUUCUGCCAAGGAGGGAACUUCUGUUCAUACAAAUCUGGAUAAUCAGAGUUGUAGUAUUUGUAUUGUAGGAUCCCAUAACCUUUUGUCUGAGGCUCAGUCUUGUGUAUUAGGUAUGAUGAAAACAUCUUCAGUCAUUCAUGAUCUAAACACUAAAGACAGACAAGAAAGGAAUAGGUGCUUAUAGGUGAGUGAGUGACAGAAAGAUGAAGGACUAAAAACCACUUGCAUGCUUAAGUGUUGUGUUAAAUGUAGGGGCGCAGAUUUAUCAGGCUUCUUUUAUUGCCUGAUUUGAUCUUUAUGUAUGUUAAUCCACAACAAAUGCAAGGUAAAGCAAUUUAAUACGAAUUUGUUCCGUGCUGAGUUAAAUGAGGUGACAUGACCUUGCAUUUGUCAUGUCUUAAAUGUGUGCAAACAGACCCACCGGUGGGGCUCACCUGGGGCAUGGGACUGUGGUGCAUGUGAGCUCUCAGUGCCGAGUGAUUUGCCCAAGAUGAUGUGGGAAAUUGAUAGCAGAACCAGAAAUUGAACACAGAUUUUUCCUUCUCUCAAUCCAGUGCCUUAAUUAUAGUAGGGCAAAGUAUUAUAUGUUGGGGGGGGGGGGGAUUUGUUUGUUUUUUAAAGCCAAGAUGGUGUGGAGUUGGUCUUCCUACCAAUCUUUUGAAUAAUUGUAAAUGCCCAGUCACAAUUUUAGACCUGUUUGAGUGCCAGUGACUUAGGGAAUAUUUGUUAUUUCCCAUGUAUUCCCUGAAAUUAUUGUUCCUCCCUCAACUGCUGUGGGCAGUAAGGAAUGACUUGAAUAGAAGAGCUGUGUAACUGAAUGUCUAUCUAACUCAACUAAUUGAAUUGCUAGUAUGAAAGCUAACCUAGAUUUUGUAGGCUCUGUUGUAACUUUAGUGUCUUGUUUUUUCACUAAAUCUUUGUUCCUAGAAAUCAGUAUCUGAACUUAUGUCUUGAGUCGGGAGUGGGGUACCACUUUCAGCUUUAAUUUUUUUUAAGGUGCUUGCUUGAGGAAGUAGAUGCCAAAGUAAACUUCAAAGGAACUCCAGACUUCAGUGUUGGAAGAAUGAACGGAGAGCAAGAGCUCUCUUUGGGUUUCAUGAGAGAUAAAUGGACAAAGUAAAAAACAGCCACCAAAAUUCUAAGUCACGAAACUGGACAGAAAACAAGAAAAGGCUUUUCUUUACCGCCCACAAAAACAAUCAGAUAUUUUCAAUUGUUCAGCGUGGCAGAAACUCUGAGAGCAAGUGCCAAACAAUCCCAUGGAAUGUGCUGGCUUUUUCAGCAUUAUUGUACCUUACCAGCAUUAUCAAUAUCCAGAUGUAAAUCGAGCCAGCUUUGUACUGUUCACCUUUUGCCUGGGCACAAUAGCUGAGUUUUAAUGAACAGAACAUAAGCUCACAGUGAAUCUCUGAGCUCAUGCUCUCAGUUCCACUCUGGGAGACAAAACAAAUGAGCAAAAAGGG